Molecule: ribosomal RNA, 1918 nt
Filed under: uncultured eukaryote
Lineage: Eukaryota
Description: partial small subunit ribosomal RNA
Rfam family: Eukaryotic small subunit ribosomal RNA
Source: RNAcentral
AACCUGGUUGAUCCUGCCAGUAGUCAUAUGCUUGUUUCAAGAUUAAGCCAUGCAUGUCUAAGUAUAAAUGAAUACACAGUGAAACUGCGAACGGCUCAUUCAAACAGUUAUAGGUUAUUUGAUAUUUCGGAUACUUCCAAUAUGGAUACCCGUAGUAAUUCUAGGGCUAAUACAUGCGUUACGGGGAACUUCACGGAACCCCAGUAUUAUUAGAUAUUCUUAAACCAUCAUUCCGCAAGGUCUACUGAGAUGAUUCAUGAUAACUCUUCGAAUGCCGGCUCAUACCGGCAUAUGUCAUUCAUGUUUCUGCUUCCCAUCAGCUUGAUUGUAGUGUAUUGGACAACAAUGGCAUUCACGGGCAACCGGGGGAUUAGGGUUCGAUUCCGGAGAGGGAGCCUGAUAAACGGCUACCACUUCUACGGAAGGCAGCAGGCGCGAAAAUUAUCCAAUCCUGACUCAGGGAGGUAGUGAAAUAAAUAAUGAACUGGGAUUAUUUUAUCCUGGGAUUACAAUGGGCUUGAUUUGCAAACUUGAUAUUAGCGAGGAACAAUUGGAGGGCAAGUCUGGUGCCAGCAGCCGCGGUAAUUCCAGCUCCAAUAGUGUAUAUUAACGUUCCUGCAGUUAUUCGAUGCUCGUAGUUGGAUUUCUGGGGGCUGAGACAGGAGGGCGGCUAUGGCCGCCACCAGUCUUUUCCCUCGUCCGCCUGUUAACGGCGAUCGAGAUUGAAUUCUCGACGCCGGGCUCAGGCACUUUGAUUUAAUUCUCUUGAGCAAAUUAUAGUGUUUCAGGCAGGCGUGCGCCGGAAUACAUUAGCAUGGAAUAAUCUUACGGACCGUGUGUGGGUUCGCCCACAUUUCCUUAUUUGUUGGUUUCUCUAUUUUAAGGACACGGAAUGAUUAAUAGGGAUAGUUGAGAAGUUAUAUCUCACCAGGGGAGGCAUUAGUAUUUAAUUUCCAGAGGUGAAAUUCUUUGAAAUUUCUUAAGACUAACUUAUGCGAAAGCAUUUUUCUGCCAAGAAUGUUUUUAUCUCAUCGUCAAGAACGAAAGUUAGGGGAUCAAAGACGAUCAGAUACCGUCCUAGUCUUAACCAUAAACUUUGCCGACUAGGGAUCGGAGGGCGUGCACAUUCCGCCUUCGGCACCUUACGAGAAAUCAUAAGUAUUUUGGGUUCUGGGGGUAGUAUGGUCGCAAGGCUGAAACUUAAAGGAAUUGACGGAAGGGCACCACCAGGAGUGGAGCUUGCGGCUCAAUUUGACUCAACACGGGAAAUCUUACCAGGUCCAGACAUAGGAAGGAAAUUGACAGAUUGAUAGCUCUUUCUUGAUUCUAUGGGUUGAUUCGGUGGUGCAUGGCCGUUCUUAGUUGGUGGAGUGAUUUGUCUGGUUAAAUCCCGAUUUUUUAUAAAUACAAACGAACGAGACCUCAGCCUGCUAAAUAGUUAUCUGUCUUUAUAUGUGCUUGCACAAACCGAGACUUACUAACUUCUUAGAGGGACUUUGUGCGCAAUCAGAAAGGAAGUUUGAGGCAAUAACAGGUCUGUGAUGCCCUUAGAUGUCCUGGGCCGCACGCGUGCUACACUGAUACGUACAACAAGGUAUACAUAUCUACUUGCUGCCGAAAUAGAUAAUCAACUUGGCUAAAUCUCCAAUACGUAUCGUGCUGCGGAUAGAUCGUUGAUAAAUAAUUAUGAAUCUUGAAGGAGGAAUUCCUAGUAAGCGCAAGUCAUCAGCUUGCGUUGAUUACGUCCCUGCCCUUUGUACACACCGCCCGUCGCUCCUACCAAUUUCGAGCGGCUCGGUGAACCUUUCUUCUCUCGACUGUAUGGCAACAUACGAUGUACGAAGAAUUGUAAACCUGGUCGCUUAGAGGAAGGAGAAGUCGUAACAAGGUUUCCGUAGGUGAACCUGCAGAAGGAUCA